RNAcentral lists this ribosomal RNA (301 nucleotides) under uncultured bacterium. Its description in RNAcentral is "partial 16S ribosomal RNA". It matches the Rfam family "Bacterial small subunit ribosomal RNA", at positions 509 to 807 of the family's 1533-position model. The record is from RNAcentral.
CAGCCGCCGCGGUAAUACGUAGGUGGCAAGCGUUGUCCGGAAUUAUUGGGCGUAAAGGGCUCGCAGGCGGUUUCUUAAGUCUGAUGUGAAAGCCCCCGGCUCAACCGGGGAGGGUCAUUGGAAACUGGGAAACUUGAGUGCAGAAGAGGUGAGUGGAAUUCCACGUGUAGCGGUGAAAUGCGUAGAGAUGUGGAGGAACACCAGUGGCGAAGGCGACUCUCUGGUCUGUAACUGACGCUGAGGAGCGAAAGCGUGGGGAGCGAACAGGAUUAGAGACCCCUGUAGUCCCUGUCUCUUAUAC